Molecule: ribosomal RNA, 497 nt
Filed under: uncultured bacterium
Lineage: Bacteria
Description: partial 16S ribosomal RNA
Rfam family: Bacterial small subunit ribosomal RNA
Source: RNAcentral
GACGAACGCUGGCGGCGUGCCUAAUACAUGCAAGUUGAGCGAUGAAGAUUGGUGCUUGCACCAAUUUGCAGAGCAGCGAACGGGUGAGUAACGCGUGGGGAAUCUGCCUUUGAGCGGGGGACAACAUUUGGAAACGAAUGCUAAUACCGCAUAACAACUUUAAACAUAAGUUUUAAGUUUGAAAGAUGCAAUUGCAUCACUCAAAGAUUAUCCCGCGUUGUAUUAGCUAGUUUGUGAGGUAAACGCUCACCAAGGCGAUGAUACAUAGCCGACCUGAGAGGGUGAUCGGCCACAUUGGGACUGAGACACCGCCCAAGCUCCUAAGGGAGGCAGCAGUAGGGAAUCUUCGGCCAUGGACGAAAGUCUGACCGAGCAACGCCGCGGGAGUGAAGAAGGUUUUCGGAUCGUAAAACUCUGUUGGUAGAGAAGAACGUUGGUGAGAGUGGAAAGCUCAUCAAGUGACGGUAACUACCCAGAAAGGGACGGCUAACUACGUG